UGCAGUGGAGCGACGAACCAGGCUUCGGCCUGGGGCAAAGCCGCGAACGGGUGAGUAACACGUGGGUAACCUGCCCUGAUGAUUGGGACAACCCGAGGAAACUCGGGCUAAUACCGGAUGUGCCCUCCGGCCAUAAGGCCGCUGGGGAAAGGAAGCUUCGGCCUCCGCAUCGGGAUGGGCCCGCGGCCCAUUAGCUUGUUGGUGAGGUAAUGGCUCACCAAGGCGACGAUGGGUAGCUGGUCUGAGAGGACGAUCAGCCACACUGGGACUGAGACACGGCCCAGACUCCUACGGGAGGCAGCAGUGGGGAAUCUUGCGCAAUGCGCGAAAGCGUGACGCAGCAACGCCGCGUGGGGGAAGAAGGCCUUCGGGUUGUAAACCCCUUUCAGUUGGGACGAAGCUUCGUCGGUGAAUAGCCGGCCGGAGUGACGGUACCUUCAGAAGAAGCCCCGGCUAACUACGUGCCAGCAGCCGCGGUAAUACGUAGGGGGCUAGCGUUGUCCGGAAUCAUUGGGCGUAAAGAGCGUGUAGGCGGCUCGGUAAGUCCGCUGUGAAAGUCCAGGGCUCAACCCUGGAAUGCCGGUGGAAACUGUCGAGCUAGAGUCCGGAAGAGGUGAGUGGAAUUCCUGGUGUAGCGGUGAAAUGCGCAGAUA
RNAcentral lists this ribosomal RNA (653 nucleotides) under uncultured bacterium. RNAcentral describes it as "bacterial SSU rRNA". It matches the Rfam family "Bacterial small subunit ribosomal RNA", at positions 56 to 696 of the family's 1533-position model. The record is from RNAcentral.